GACCUCAAAUCAGGUAGGACUACCCGCUGAACUUAAGCAUAUCAAUAAGCGGAGGAAAAGAAACUAACAAGGAUUCCCCUAGUAACUGCGAGUGAAGCGGGAAAAGCUCAAAUUUAAAAUCUGGCGGCUUUGUCGUCCGAGUUGUAAUUUAGAGAAGUGUUACCCGUGUUGGACCGUGUACAAGUUCCCUGGAAUGGGGCGUCAUAGAGGGUGAGAAUCCCGUCUCUGACACGGACUCCCAAUGCAUUGUGGUGCGCUCUCGAAGAGUCGAGUUGUUUGGGAAUGCAGCUCAAAAUGGGUGGUAAAUUCCAUCUAAAGCUAAAUAUUGGGGAGAGACCGAUAGCGAACAAGUACCGUGAGGGAAAGAUGAAAAGAACUUUGGAAAGAGAGUUAAACAGUACGUGAAAUUGCUGAAAGGGAAACGCUUGAAGUCAG
Molecule: ribosomal RNA, 435 nt
Filed under: uncultured fungus
Lineage: Eukaryota; Fungi
Description: eukaryotic LSU rRNA
Rfam family: Eukaryotic large subunit ribosomal RNA
Source: RNAcentral